UACGUAGGGUGCAAGCGUUGUCCGGAAUUAUUGGGCGUAAAGAGCUCGUAGGCGGUUUGUCGCGUCUGCUGUGAAAACCUAGGGCUUAACUCUGGGCGUGCAGUGGGUACGGGCAGGCUAGAGUGCGGUAGGGGAGACCGGAAUUCCUGGUGUAGCGGUGAAAUGCGCAGAUAUCAGGAGGAACACCGGUGGCGAAGGCGGGUCUCUGGGCCGUAACUGACGCUGAGGCACGAAAGCGUGGGGAGCAAACAGG
This 253-nucleotide ribosomal RNA is filed under the name uncultured bacterium. Its description in RNAcentral is "partial 16S ribosomal RNA". It matches the Rfam family "Bacterial small subunit ribosomal RNA", at positions 524 to 776 of the family's 1533-position model. The record is from RNAcentral.